AUUGAACGCUGGCGGCAGGCCUAACACAUGCAAGUCGAACGGUAGCACAGAGAGCUUGCUCUCGGGUGACGAGUGGCGGACGGGUGAGUAAUGUCUGGGAAACUGCCCGAUGGAGGGGGAUAACUACUGGAAACGGUAGCUAAUACCGCAUAAUGUCGCAAGACCAAAGAGGGGGACCUUCGGGCCUCUUGCCAUCGGAUGUGCCCAGAUGGGAUUAGCUUGUAGGUGAGGUAACGGCUCACCUAGGCGACGAUCCCUAGCUGGUCUGAGAGGAUGACCAGCCACACUGGAACUGAGACACGGUCCAGACUCCUACGGGAGGCAGCAGUGGGGAAUAUUGCACAAUGGGCGCAAGCCUGAUGCAGCCAUGCCGCGUGUAUGAAGAAGGCCUUCGGGUUGUAAAGUACUUUCAGCGGGGAGGAAGGGAGUGAGGUUAAUAACCUUAUUCAUUGACGUUACCCGCAGAAGAAGCACCGGCUAACUCCGUGCCAGCAGCCGCGGUAAUACGGAGGGUGCAAGCGUUAAUCGGAAUUACUGGGCGUAAAGCGCACGCAGGCGGUCUGUCAAGUCGGAUGUGAAAUCCCCGGGCUCAACCUGGGAACUGCAUUCGAAACUGGCAGGCUGGAGUCUUGUAGAGGGGGGUAGAAUUCCAGGUGUAGCGGUGAAAUGCGUAGAGAUCUGGAGGAAUACCGGUGGCGAAGGCGGCCCCCUGGACAAAGACUGACGCUCAGGUGCGAAAGCGUGGGGAGCGAACAGGAUUAGAUACCCUGGUAGUCCACGCUGUAAACGAUGUCGACUUGGAGGUUGUUCCCUUGAGGAGUGGCUUCCGGAGCUAACGCGUUAAGUCGACCGCCUGGGGAGUACGGCCGCAAGGUUAAAACUCAAAUGAAUUGACGGGGGCCCGCACAAGCGGUGGAGCAUGUGGUUUAAUUCGAUGCAACGCGAAGAACCUUACCUACUCUUGACAUCCAGAGAACUUAGCAGAGAUGCUUUGGUGCCUUCGGGAACUCUGAGACAGGUGCUGCAUGGCUGUCGUCAGCUCGUGUUGUGAAAUGUUGGGUUAAGUCCCGCAACGAGCGCAACCCUUAUCCUUUGUUGCCAGCGGUCCGGCCGGGAACUCAAAGGAGACUGCCAGUGAUAAACUGGAGGAAGGUGGGGAUGACGUCAAGUCAUCAUGGCCCUUACGAGUAGGGCUACACACGUGCUACAAUGGCAUAUACAAAGAGAAGCGACCUCGCGAGAGCAAGCGGACCUCAUAAAGUAUGUCGUAGUCCGGAUUGGAGUCUGCAACUCGACUCCAUGAAGUCGGAAUCGCUAGUAAUCGUGGAUCGGAAUGCCACGGUGAAUACGUUCCCGGGCCU
This 1361-nucleotide ribosomal RNA is filed under the name uncultured bacterium. RNAcentral's name for it is "bacterial SSU rRNA". It matches the Rfam family "Bacterial small subunit ribosomal RNA", at positions 28 to 1381 of the family's 1533-position model. The record is from RNAcentral.